RNAcentral lists this long non-coding RNA (7260 nucleotides) under Arabidopsis lyrata. RNAcentral's name for it is "long non-coding RNA (ALYR_LNC003320)". The record is from RNAcentral. Lineage: Eukaryota; Viridiplantae; Streptophyta; Magnoliopsida; Brassicales; Brassicaceae.
GAGUAGUCGAAGUUGGCACCGAUGGAGUAGUUGAAGUUGUCGAUGGAGCGAAAUAAGCGCCAAGAGCAUAAAGAACAUCACUAGCUUUCCCAUGGAAACCAACAAGUUUUCCUCCCUUAUCGUUAAGUUCAAAUUUCUUCUCAGUCACCAUUCCAAAAGGCUGUGAGGUUUUACCCUUAAAGGUCUUGAAGACAAGAGAAGUGACGAUUUCACUCUUAAAACCAAAGACAUUGUCGACAGAAACUUGAACUGAUGUGAUGUAAUCAUCAGGAUCAACUUCAAACUCCUCUGUUCCUAACACUGUCAUUUUUCCAUGCUCUCGUGUCUCACUUUUCCCAUCUUUUUCGUAUUCGAAUUUGACAUAAGCUACACCAGAAUCACCUUGACCAACAUAAACCUUUCUUACAUGAUUGAAAGCACCAUCGUCGAAUGUAUCCCCACCAUUUCCUCCUUGAGCUUCCACUUUGUUGGGAGGAGCUGGAGCUGGAGCUGGAGCUGGAGCGGGAGCUGGAGCUGGAGCUGGAGCUGGAGCGGGAGCUGGAGCAGGAGCUGGAGCGGGAACGGGAAGAGGGGCAAAAUGUGCACCAAGAGCAUCAAUAGCAUCACCAGACCGACCACAAAACCCAACAAGUUUAAAACCUGUUUCUUCGAACACAAAUUUAUUACCAACCACAUUCCCAAAAGCAGGGGAGACUCUUCCUUUUGAUGUCUUAAACUUCAGAGACGAAAGGUAACCAUCGAUUGUUCCCUCGACCGAUGUAAUAUGUUCAUUAGGAUAAUCCACCACAAACUGCAACCAAAUUUAAAAUUUUCUCUGAUCAAAAGAGAAUAAUAAUAAGAAUAUCUUAGCACACACGAAAUUAACAAAAAUUCCUAUGAAGAUACCUCUUGUGGAGCUUCUUGUCUCUUCCCAUGAGCAUGUGGUACCAUUCUUUCGCCUUUCGCAUACUCAAACCGGACAUAACUCACAAACUUACCAUUUCGUCCAACGACCACUUUUCUAACACCAUCGAAAGCGCCAUCGUCCCAAGCACUCCCUCCAUUCCCACCUUGCAGUUUAAAGUGCUUAAGAGAAGAGUUCACAGCGAAGAAGUGAGGUCCAAUAGCAUCAAGAGCUUCACCAGAACGUCCAUGGAAACCAAGAAGCUUUCCUCCAUUUUUGCUCUCGAGCAUGAAUUCUUUCCCAGCUGGAUUCCCUAGUAAUGUCGUAUGACCAAGUAUCGGAGAGGUUCUUCCAUAAGAGGUUUUGAAGAGUAAUGAUUUGAUCAAUUCUGAUCCAUAACCGAAAACAGUAUCGUAGCUUCCACCAACGGCUGUGAUAUAUUCAUUCGGAUAAUCCACUGAAAACUGGAUUACAUUUUCCAUCAAAAACAAACAAAUUAUUAGCUUUUACGGGUUGAAUAAGAACCAUUGACGAAUAACAAAGUCUUGUUUGUUUCAUUACCUCUUUUAGUUCUCCGCGAUUAGUCCCGUGUUCACGAAUUUCGAAUUUUCCGUCCUUUUCAUAUUCGAUCUUGAUAUAAGUUACCUUGCUGAAGUCUUUUCCAACUAUUACUUUCUUCACACCAUCAAAAACACCAUCAUCGAAUGCUCCUCCCUUGUUACCACCCAUCGCUCCCACCUUUUCCGACAUUGUUUCUAUCUUUUAAAUUUAGAGAAAACCUGAAAGAUGGAAACGUUUUUUCUGAAACACACUAAGAACCCAAUGGUUUCUGUCUUCAUAUAUAAAAUAGAGUAAGAGGAUGCAACACAAAAUCUGUUUUUUACUUAUCACAAGUGUGCAAAAACGUUAAUACCCUAGAUAAUUACUUGGUCUAUCGAAAAUUAUAUUUCUCAGGUUCCAUUAUUUAGGAAAUACUUUUUCAAGACAAUAUCAAUUGCUCUCCUUUUGAUUCUUUGACAUAAUUAUAUUUACAUACUUAACAAGAUGAAAUCAUCUGAAAAAAAUCUGGAUUUUGACAAAAAUAUAGGAGAAACAUGUACAAUAACAUAGAGACAUUAAAAAUUUUAAAAUUAUAGGACAUAAUUUAAAAUUAAUAAUAUUAUUCUUUAGUCUGUGACAAAUAUCUUAGUCAAUAAAAUUAAACAAGUUGAAACUUGAAACCAGAGAAACAAAGCACACAAGAGAGAAAAUAAAACCGGAAAAUGAAGUCUAUAUUAUUUUAAUGUUCCAAAAACAAUAUAUGAUGUCUUACACUAUGAUUUCUUUGCUUCGGCAAUUUCCUAAUAAACUAAUCAGUUUGAAGUUAGAAAAAGAAAAAAGUCUACCUUAAAGCAUUUGUUAAGAAACGAAUACAAAAUUGAAAAAAACAGUUUAAAUAAUAAUUUGUUUAUAAGUUCUUUGAAAUCUAGCAGUAGUCACUACUUAGAGAGGAAACACAAAACAUAAAAUAAUCAAACUAGGCCGUUUUGGCCGAUCAACAGUCAAGAAAACUAGAAAAGAAAGACAGAGUAAAACCAAAAAAAGAACUGAGAAAUAGUAACCUGAGUAAAGAGAGUCCGAUGAGGAAUGAGAGUAAAUUGUGAGAUUGUGGAUAGCAAUAGAGUAUAGUAAUAAUUUCUUAUAUAAUGUGAAAUUGAAAACCUCACCUAGAUACAGUCUUUAUAUUCUUCGUGACAAUGAUAGGAGUUAUAAUUCUUGAAAACGGUUACAUUCCUUAUAAACGUGAGAGAAAUGCUUCCCACAUGGUCCAACUAACAAAUAUAAAGGCCAAUAAACCAUGAAUUUGUUACACCAAACAAAAAAUAACAAAAAAUCAAUAGGCACCUAAAUUUUAAACCACUAAACCAUUAAGAAAAAUAAAAUAGUCGAUGCAUCAUAACCAAACAAGGGCAAAACCACAUAAAAUUAGUAUUAUGUGAAUAGAGAAUGUCGACAAAAGAAUGUGAAUAUAGAAUGGAGGAAAAAAGGGCUGAUUGUGCCUGAGAAGAGACAAGAGAGAGACCUUAUGUUUGAGAAGAGCUGUGAGUGAGAAUGAUAUUGGAUAUUCUGGCCCUGAAUGGUGACAUAUAAAGGUGCGGAUUUCAAGUGUGUUUUUUGAAAAACGUUUUAUGUUACCAAUCAAUAAAUUUGUAGGUAAUCUGCGGUUUUUUAGAAGAAAAAAGAAACAUCUGUUCACGGUUUUCAAAACAAGGUUUUAACCUUUGGACCGCAGUAUUGUUGUCCAACUGUCUGUUCCCAGCGGUUCCACAAAUUCCGCAACAGUUAAAAGAAAAUUUCUUUAUUUAAUUUUUUUUUUAACAACUGAAACAUUGAUUAAUUUCUAAAUGGUUAGUACAAAAAGGAAAGUAACCAUCCGACCCAAAAAAAAAGGAAGUAACCAAAAUGGUGGCACGGUUUAGUGUAAGUUUGGUUUUUGAAAUAUAGAAAAAUAUAUAAACAAGAUAUAAAAAACUGAUAAAAGUUAAAACUAAUGCGCGAGGAAAAAUAUGAAUUUAUUGAGAUGGAUGCAAUUAAAAUGGCAUAUGAUAAAACAAAUGAUGCAAAAAAUAAUAAUACAGAUAUGUUAUAGAAAAAUUAAUAUAUUCGAUAAUAUUUUUUUUGUUGUAUCAUAUUGUUUGUUAUUAAAUUUAUUUAUUUAAUAUAUAUAUACACAUAUUUUUGAAUGUUUAAGUUAUAAUUAUAUUAAUAUAUUUGUUUUAAAAUUAUUCUACAAUUUAUUUUCCGCACUGCUUUUUGUUUUUUCACCAAUCAAACAUUAUUCUGUUGUAUCAUAUUGUUUAUUAUGAAUUUUUUUAUUUAAUAUAUACAUAUAUACACAUAUAUUUGAAUGUUUAAUUUAUAAUUAUAUUAAUAUAUUUCUUUUAAAAUUAUUUAACUACAAUCUAUAUUGUUUAUAAAUAUCUGUUAUUGUUUAUUUAUUAACACAAAAAAUUAAUUAAUUAUUAAUAUAUAUGUAUAUAUAAAACCGCACUUGUCCCGCAAAUAGUUUUUUUCACCAAUCACAUAUUAUUUCGUACCGCUUAUUUUAUACAAACCGCACUUGUCCCGCAAAUAUAUUUCUCCCGCACGUCCCGCAGUUAAACCGUACCGCACUGUAAUACUGCACUUCUCCCGUACCGCAAAACGCAGUUACCAUUCGGAGCCUCUAUUUAUUGACAAUCUUCACCAUUUUAAUCAUUCAUCUUUACACGUUCACACGCCAUCGACCAUUCAUUCUAUAUUUUUACUUUCUUAUCGUGACAUUAUUGAUUUGCUUUUUUUUUUUUUGCGAAAAUUGAUUUGCUUUUUAAAUUUCUUCUUCUUCGUUAUCAUUAAUUGAAGCUUGUUUUAGGUCAUAUGAUAUUUUCUUUAAUGUAUACUUAAGAUUGAUAAAACUAAAUUGUUCCUUUUUUCCAUUCGCAUAGUGAACAGUUUUAAAAAACAUCAUAAAUUUUUGAUUAAUAAGAAAAAUUAUGUAUUCUAUUUAAAUAACUCUUAAUGCAUUAUAUUAAAUGAAAAAAUCCUAAAAGCUAAAAUAGUACAUAAACUACAAUGUUCUAAAAAGCGGUCUAGGCGGUCUCUUAGGUCCGACUAGACGCUAGGCUCUCAUGCGACGUCUAGAUGACCGCCGUGACCGCCUAAAAUUACAUAGAUGUUGUUUAAUGUAUUUUUUUAAUCUCAAUUAAGUUUUAAUUAUAUAUAUAGUUAUAAAUAUUCAUAUAUUGUUUAAUAUAAAUAUAAAUAAAUGUUUUAUCUACCUUUUGUUUAUAAUUUCAUAAUUUUUAGUUUUAAAUAGAUAUUUUAAAUAAUUUUAUAUAUAAUAUCAUAUUUAUAAUGUUUUAUGUUAUAAAUGUUUAAACCGCCUAAAAAUCGCCCACCUCCGAUUAGACAUUUUAGGCGCUAGACACUGGAUAAAAUAAAACAUUAUAAAUAUGAUAUUAUGUAUGUGGUAAGUUUAAACCGCCUAAAUAUUAUAAAUAUGAUAUUAUAUAUGGGGCCUAAAAAUCGCCUAUAUUCUCUCUCAGGCUCGUAGCACCACCCUUGUCCGACAGUCGGUCCGCUACAUCCGGAAGGCUUAAAGACUUGUUUACCGACUAUACAAAUUACCACAUGAUUUGUUCCCGUGUUUUGUCCUCACUCGCACGGUUCUGACGUUCACAUCCCAGAAGGUCAUCCAUCCUGAAAUUGCUUCAGCUCAAGCACGCUUAACUAUGAAGUUUUCUUAGGAUGUUUGACCAAAAAGAUAAGUGUACUUUGGUGACAUAAGUGGCCAAAUCAAUUCUUUUAAACCUCUCCGCAUGCACUACAAUAUUUUUAAAACCGGGGUGUUACAGCUGCCCGGGUUUUAAUGGGUUACAAGCAGAAAACAAAAAUUUGGUCAAUAUUAGAGAGUUAAAAAAAAAAACUUAAGACAAGUGAUAUGAAGGAAGAAGGGUUCCAACUCUUAACCGUACCCUUUCAAGCUUCAAGUAAGUGAAUGCCUAAUUCGCUGAUGAAUCUUUUGUAAAAUUUUGGCCGAAGUUUUAUUUAUCGUAUUAAUGGCCGCAAACAUGGAUUUGGCCCGCUUGUACUCAUGGCGGCUCUGCCCGAAUAUUGACACUGGUAAGGUGUCAUCUCUAUAAAUCUCUAUAUUGUUGUUCGUUUGGCAGUCACAUGUCUCUUGCGGCUGCGGCUGCGACUGAAAGUUGUUCGUUUGACAGUAGUAGGAUCCUGCGAUCAGUCACUGCGACUUGCGACUGAAUUUUUUAAUUGCAUGAAAAAUUAGUGGUGCAACUUUUUCAAUGCCGAUUAGUCACGAACAACAUCCCGCAAAUUCAAAAUCGCAGUUGCAAUAGCUUGUGAUUAUGAAACGAACAUGGCCUAAUAGUGUGUUCAUUUUUAUAUUUAUUGUGUAGUUUUUAAAACUAUCUACCAACAACUUUUAACAUUUCAACAAAUCUUUUCUGUUACUUACAUACACCAACGCAAAUAAAACAUUUUUUUUUUUCCAUUGGCGUUUGAGUUUUAAGCAAAUAUUUUAUGAAAACUUUACAAACAUAGCUUUUUCUUUGAUGUUUUUCACCUUUAAACAUUCUUUAUUAAAAUCAACAAGUGACAAGACACCAUGAAGGCAGAACAUCACAUGCUCACAAAAAGCAUUGACACCAAAAACAGCCCCACACAUAGGAUGAUAGAAUGUAAGAAGCAGAUUUACACGUUAUGUUUCUUUUGAAAAGAAUUACUUGUUAACAAAAUGAUGAAAUGUGUUAUUUUCUUUCUUUGUUGCGAUUUUUAGUAUUGGUUAUCAUCCAAAGUAUUCAUCGCAAGAAAAACUUCACUAUUUAUGAUAGAAAGAUCUAAAAAGAGAUCGAAAAGAAACAUCCUUUAUUAAAAUCAACUAGUGACAAGACUCAUGAAGGCAGAACAUCACAUGUUCGCGCGCAUAAAGCAUUGACGCUAAAACACACACCCAAAUCCAUAAGCAUGCAUAUAUGGUCCAUAUAUAUUGACCUUACUUAAAGGAAUCAUCAGAGAAAAGAAACUACAAAGCACAUCUAAUUGGUGAAAAUGGGCACGACAUGGACUCCGAUCUGAUGAACCACAUCACCAGCUUUGCCGUGGAACCCAACGAUCUGGUAACGGUCCUCCUUAAGCUCGAAAUGCUCCCCAGCAAUCAUUCCAAACGGCUGAGACGUUCUCUUGUUAGUCUUGAACGUUAGACUCGUCACCAGUUCAGCAUCAACUCCAAAGAUUUUAUCAUAGUAACCUUCCACCAAAGUGAUAUACUCACUUGGAUAAUCAAGCUCAAACUACAAAAUCAAGAAGGAUAAAAUUAUGUCAAGAAAUCAACUUUUGGGAGAAACUAGAAACAAAUUAGAGAGAUCAAAAAAGAAUCGAACCGUUUCAGUUCCAAGUACUGUUUGUUUCCCAUGAACAUCACCGAUGAUAGCUUGAGAGCCUUUGUUGUACUCAAACGUGACAAAAGCUACUCCAUCGUUUCCUUGACCUACAAGUAUCUUUCUAAGGCCAUCAAAAACACCAUCAUCCCAAGAAGCUCCUCCAUUACCACCUCUUGCUUGUAGCUUCUUAGCAGUAGAAGGUGUCAACGGAGUAGUCGAAGUUGUUGUUGGAGCGAAAUAAGCACCAAGAGCAUACAGAACAUCACUAGCUUUCCCAUGGAAUCCAGCAAGUUUUCCUCCGUCACCGUCUUUAAGCUCGAAUAUCUUCUCAGUCACCAUUCCAAAAGGCGGUGAGCUUUUACCCUUAAAGGUCUUGAAGACAAGAGCAGUGACGAUUUCGCUUUUAUAACCAAAGACUUUGUCGACAGAAACUUGAACUGAUGUGAUGUAAUCAUCUGA